GCUCUAGCCUGCCCAUGAAGAUUAAAUGGCCGCAGUAAAUUGACUGUGCAAAGGUAGCAUAAUCAUUAGUUUUUUAAUUAAAAGCUUGUAUGAAGGGUUGAACGAGGUAAAUUCUGUCUCUAUUUAAUUUAAAUUACAAUUUAAUUUUUAAGUUAAAAAGCUUAAAUAUUUGUAAAAGACGAGAAGACCCUAUAGAGCUUUAUAAUUUUUAUAUUAUAAUAAUUUAAGUUUUUUUAAAGUUUUAUUAUAAAAGUUAUUUUAUUGGGGUAAUAGAAAGAUUAAAAUAAUUCUUUUUUAUUAUUUACAUGAAUAAAUGAAUUUAAUGAUCCAUUUUUAAUGAUUAUAAGAUUAAGUUACCUUAGGGAUAACAGCGUAAUUUUUUUAAAGAGUUCAUAUCGAUAAAAAAGUUUGCGACCUCGAUGUUGGAUUAAAGAUUAGUUUAGGUGUAGAAGUUUAAAUUUUUGGUCUGUUCGACCAUUAAAUCUUUACGUGAUCUGG
This 498-nucleotide ribosomal RNA is filed under the name Dolichus halensis. Its description in RNAcentral is "partial 16S ribosomal RNA". It matches the Rfam family "Bacterial large subunit ribosomal RNA", at positions 1851 to 2608 of the family's 2925-position model. The record is from RNAcentral. Lineage: Eukaryota; Metazoa; Arthropoda; Insecta; Coleoptera; Carabidae.